CAAUAGCGUAUAUUAAUGUUGUUGCAGUUAAAAAGCCCGUAGUUGGAUUUCUGGUGGAAGCGACCGGUCCGCCCCUCACGGGGUGUGCACUAGCGUCUGUCUUUUGCCAUCCUUGCGAAGAAGCGGUGUGGCAUUAAGUUGUCGCGCCGUCUGACUCGCAUCGUUUACUGUGAAAAAAUUAGAGUGUUUAAAGCAGGCAAUUGCUGUGAAUACAUUAGCAUGGAAUAAUAAGAUAGGACUUUGGUACUAUUUUGUUGGUUUGCAUAUCAAAGUAAUGAUUAACAGGGACAGUUGGGGGUAUUCGUAUUUCGUUGUCAGAGGUGAAAUUCUUGGAUUUAUGAAAGACGAACUACUGCGAAAGCAUUUACCAAGGAUGUUUUCAUUAA
This 386-nucleotide ribosomal RNA is filed under the name uncultured eukaryote. RNAcentral describes it as "partial 18S ribosomal RNA". It matches the Rfam family "Eukaryotic small subunit ribosomal RNA", at positions 592 to 976 of the family's 1831-position model. The record is from RNAcentral.